Long non-coding RNA from Oncorhynchus nerka (sockeye salmon), 3528 nucleotides. RefSeq lists it as uncharacterized. The transcript is spliced from 2 exons. The record is from RefSeq and is a predicted model, not a curated record. NCBI's taxonomy places the organism in Eukaryota, Metazoa, Chordata, Actinopteri, Salmoniformes, Salmonidae.
AUCAUCUACACAGUGGUAGACACACACACACACACACACAAUGACUUGUUGUCACAUGUCAUGUAAGGUGAUGCAAGAAUUUCCAUGGAAGGCCUAUUUCAAUAGAGGGAACACAUUUCAAUAGAGGGAACACAUUUCAAUAGAAGGCCCAUUUACAUGGAUUAUAAUAUACAUACACUAAACUAUUUCUGCUGUGUCAUGUUUGUACCAGUUCCAGGGGUCAUUGAGGAACCAAUGUUUGAGGUGGCAUGUAGCCUAGUGGUUAGAGCGUUGGGUCUGUAACUGAACGAUUGCUAGGUCAAAUCCCAGAGCUGACAAGAUUACAAAUCUGUCGUUCUUCCCCUGAACAAGGCAGUUAACCCACUCUUCCUAGGCUGUCAUUGUAAAUAAGAAUUUGUUCUUAACUGACUUGCCUAGUUAAAUAAAAUCAAGAUCUUGAACUUUUAGAGUUAACAGCUUGGCAACGGAGUUCUGACCAUGUUGGUCGUUUGAAUGUGACGUUAUUUGUCUGUGUAGGCUGCCUGUGUAAAAGGAAAUGUAUGCUUGAUCUGUAAAUGUGGUUGGAUACGUCAUAUGGAUGGUGUGAUGCAAUUACGGAACCUCCAGAGUCAUGCUGAGGCCAAACUGAACUCCAUACUGCCUCACCGAUCGCCUCAACUUUUGUAACAAUGUGGAGGGCUCCUUAUAGCUCUGCAUUGACAUGAUUGGUUGAUGGUAGGUGAGGGCGGGAGGUUCUGUAUCAACACAAACUUACUUCCUGAACAAGGUCCUUGACAACAGCUCUGCGCUGCUCUGGGAAGCGCAGGAAGUACCUGACUUCUACAGAGGCCGAAUCACCGUAAAUGCUGCACGCCACCAAUGCAGAUGGUCGGACUUUAACGGCCUUUAACCUCUCUUGGGUAGGGGGCAGUAUUUUCACGUCCGGAUGAAAAACGUGUCCAAAGUAAACUGCCUGUUACUCAGGCCCAGAAGCUAAGAUAUGCAUAUAAUGAGUAGAUCUGGAUAGAAAACACUCUAAAGUUUCUAAAACUGUUACAAUUAUGUCUGUGGGUAUAACAGAACUGAUAUGGCAGGCGAAACCCUGAGGACAAACCACCCCCCCCCAAAAAAAAUAUUUUCAGCCUACCACUGUUUUCAAUGGCUGUCACAUUUAUAAUAAGGUGAAAUCCUCCCAGAGUGCAGUUCCUAGGGCUUCCACUAGAUGUCAACAGUCUUUAGAAAUAGUUUCAUCCUGGUUUUUGGAAAAAUGAGCCAGAAAUUGUAGCUUUUCUAGGUGGCUCCCUGUUUGGCUGUAGUGUUUCUAAGCGUGUGGAAGAGAGCGCAUUCUUUGGUAUUUUUCUCCGGUAAAGACAAUAACGAUUCUCCGUCUUCAAUUUUAUUGUUUAUUUGCGUAUUAGGAUACCUAAGGUUUGAUUAUAAACGUUGUUUGACUUGUUUGGAGAAGUAACGUUUGGGAUUCAUUUUGUAUGCAUUUGGAUGGAGGGAAUUAUCGAACAAAAGGUCCAUUUGUGAUGUAUCUGGGACCUUUUGGAGUGCCAACAGAAGAAGAUCAAAGGUAAGGCAUAUAUUAUAUCACUAUUUCUGACUUUCGUGGCGCACCUGCCUGGUUGAAAUAUGUUUUUCAUGCUUUUGUACGCGGGGAGCUGUCCUCAGAUAAUUGCAUGGUGUGCUUUCGCUGUAAAGCCUUUUUGAAAUCUGACACAGCGGCUGGAUUAACAAGAAGUUAAGCUUUAUUUUGCCGUAUUACACUUGCGAUGUUAUGAAAGUGAAAUAUUUAUAAUUCUGUAGUUUGAAUUUCGCGCUCUGCAAUUUCACCGGAUGUUGGCCAGGUGGGACGCUACCGUCCCACCUGCCCAUAAGAAGUUAACUCACCUGAGAGAGUGUGAGUUUGCCCCGCUCUGCGCGUUCCAUGGCGCUGUGCUUGUCAAUCACCACCUUCUUCAGAAAACCGCUAAAACAGAACAGAACCAUUUAACCAUACAAUUACACACCACACAUAUUACAUACACCACACUACUGUAUUGCGGCUUUGACUUAUCAGUGGUUAAGUUGAAUAUUACAUUUUACAAUCGAAGGUAUCAACGUAUACAACGUCUCAUACCACAUACACAAUCUAUCUGUCUGGAAGUUUAGGGCCAUUUCAGAUGGAUUUUUAUUUCUUUUUAAUACUCCACAUUCUCUUCCAUUCAGUCCAUGUAAAAGGAGGCUACUGGUGGCGUAGGGUAGUAGGGGUCAACUAGCCCCCUGGAGUAACUGCCCCUCCCCCUGCAAUUCACCUAAAGACCACAAGAUGUCACCAAAUUAUUUCCCCAACACUUUUCCCUGGCUGUCACUGUUCUUGCUGAACAAAAGAGUUCCUCUGUCAUCACAACUUUUGGAGAUAUUUCAACCAAACGAUUUUGUGAAAAUGACAACUGGUCACACUCAACGUCAACAAAACUAAGGAGAUGAUUGUGGACUUAAGGAAACAGCAGAGGGAACACCCCCUAUCCACAUCGAUGGAACAGUAGUGGAGAGGGUAGCAAGUUUUAAGUUCCUCGGCAUACACAUCACAGACAAACUGAAUUGUUCCACCCACACAGACAGCAUCGUGAAGAAGGCGCAGCAGCGCCUCUUCAACCUCAGGAGGCUGAAGAAAUUUGGCUUGUCACCAAAAGCACUCACAAACUUCUACAGAUGCACAAUCGAGAGCAUCCUGGCGGGCUGUAUCAUCGCCUGGUACGGCAACUGCUCCGCCCACAACCGUAAGGCUCUCCAGAGGGUAGUGAGGUCUGCACAACGCAUCACCGGGGGCAAACUACCUGCCCUCCAGGACACCUACACCACCCGAUGUUACAGGAAGGCCAUAAAGAUCUUCAAGGACAACAACCAUCCGAGCCACUGCCUGUUCACCCCGCUAUCAUCCAGAAGGCGAGGUCAGUACAGGUGCAUCAAAGCUGGGACAGAGAGACUGAAAAACAGCUUCUAUCUCAAGGCCAUCAGACUGUUUAAACAGCCACCACUAACAUUGAGUGGCUGCUGCCAACACACUGACUCAACUCCAGCCACUUUAAUAAUGGGAAUUGAUGGGAAAUUAUGUAAAAUAUAUCACUAGCCACUUUAAACAAUGCUACCUAAUAUAAUGUUUACAUACCCUACAUUAUUCAUCUCAUAUGUAUAUGUAUAUACUGUACUCUAUAUCAUCUACUGCAUCUUUAUGUAAUACAUGUAUCACUAGCCACUUUAACUAUGCCACUUUGUUUACAUACUCAUCUCAUUUGUAUAUACUGUACUCGAUACCAUCUACUGCAUCUUGCCUAUGCCGUUCUGUACCAUCACUCAUUCAUAUAUCUUUAUGUAAAUAUUCUUUAUCCCCUUACACUUGUGUCUAUAAGGUAGUAGUUUUGGAAUUGUUAGUUAGAUUACUUGUUGGUUAUUACUGCAUUGUCGGAACUAGAAGCACAAGCAUUUCGCUACACUCGCAUUAACAUCUGCUAACCAUGUGUAUGUGACAAAUAAAAUUGGAUUUGAUUUGAAAUAACAAAAAUA